Myotis daubentonii (Daubenton's bat) is the source of this 104-nucleotide small nuclear RNA. The record is from RefSeq and is a predicted model, not a curated record. NCBI's taxonomy places the organism in Eukaryota, Metazoa, Chordata, Mammalia, Chiroptera, Vespertilionidae.
GUGCUUGCUUCGGCAGCACAUCUACUAAAAUUGGAACGAUACAGGAUUAGCAUGGCCCCUGCACAAAGAUGACAGAAAAAGAAAGAAAGAAAGGAAAGAAAGGA